Long non-coding RNA from Sycon ciliatum, 2866 nucleotides. RefSeq lists it as uncharacterized. The transcript is spliced from 3 exons. The record is from RefSeq and is a predicted model, not a curated record. NCBI's taxonomy places the organism in Eukaryota, Metazoa, Porifera, Calcarea, Leucosolenida, Sycettidae.
UGUUGCUUCCGACAACACGCGAUGUCUCUGAAAUGAAUCGCCGGAUUUGCUUCAUUUUCAGCGGAGAGCUACAUCACGUGUAGUACAUGAUAUGAGUCUCUCCGAGUGGACCCAAAAACCAGCCACUUUAGCACUUGUGGAUGCUUGUACUUGUCUUCAUCCCCGAUGUUCCAUUGCUUGAACCUUCCAAGAAGUCAUUUCGGACUUGAUCAGGGGAACUGAGAGCGAGCUCAGUCUACCCAGUGCAAAGGCUGCCAUGCUAGCGCCGCACAGACAACGGUGGACAUGAUGUGGACAGUUCUACGAAGCAGGACGCGUGUAACAGUGACAAGCGGCACGAGACAGCCGUCCGCUGCCUGUAAAAACUCACGUGUGCGAGAAGGAGGGUGUGCUCACCGCACAAAACUCAGGGCAAACUGGACCUGUCAGAAAUAUCAGUCUUUCCACUGCUCGGUGCUGUUCUCAUGGUUCCGCAGCGCAAACAAAGUGUCGACAGGUCCGCAGUGUGUGCCGAGAGCCUAUGUCGAUCGUCGGAGGGGAUCGCCACGUAGAAGUCUACGUGUCCUCACGAGUGGUUGCUGGCAACUCCAAGACUCCGCAUGCUCAUCAAGAACGUAGUUGUCGUGAUUCCCAGUUUGUUUCAGACCAGCAAGCAUCGAAGUAGUGAGACGUCGACGCUGUCAGUCGCGUAUCGUAUGUCCCGCGGGUGGAAAUCUCGUGAUCUGCCAAAACGCUCACAACUUCUGUGUCAACAAGUUUCCUUUCAAGGCCAGGCAGGACCGCUUGGCAGCUGAGCCACAACGGCACAAGUGGGGACGCUGACGGAGUACGCUCCCACACUACAACAGGAACGGUCGACCGGUCGCGCGGUACCAUUCGGAUUUCUGUCUUUCAGCACCACUCAGUGACACGCAGCACUGGAUUGAGACAAGACGAAGAAUAGAUGGCAGAAGUGACAGAAUCAUGUGAAGAAUUGUAUCAUGUGAUCGUCAGCAUUGCAUGCUCCGUGCGCCUGGAGAUGUGCACUGCAAAAGGUGCCAAAUUAUCACUGAAUGAUAGAAAGAGCCCAUGCGGGCCACCUACUAGUACUAGUACUAGUAGUAGCCCCUACGGCCCUAGUGCUCCUGAUUCUUGAUUAUUAUAGUGAUCGGUACCAGUAAACCAUGUAUACGAACAACAACACAUGAUGUGCAACGCUGGAUAUGUCACAGCGCUAAGAAUGCAACUAUGAUUGCAAUGUAGUCUGGUCCAAGUGUGUCCGUGCGAAGCACAUCGCGAUGGGACCGUAUGUAGUAGGCCAAUGAUCCAUGACAAUGAACGAUUCCACUAGGCUGUGCCGAUUCGUGUACAGAAAUUCCCAGUCGACGGGGCGCGGCGGGUACAAGCUACCGUCAGAAAAUCUGAGCCAUCGAUGCAUCAGAUGUAAGUGAAUGCAAUUUUACGACCCUCCACUCCAGCAAUUGAAUCCGGGGAGAGAGUGACACCAUUCUGGACAGUGAGUGACAUCACCCUGAACUGUUCAUUGUUAGGACAUCAGCUGGGAAGGCAUGCCCAGCGAGUCUACCGUCUCAAGCUAAGGGCCAUCUACAUGAAGGGACGGAAUAAGUUGAGAACACUGCUUCUUCAACGAUUGAUGUCCGUGUGGUCCAGCAAUGUUGAAUAAUUAUACCGUUGUGCAAUUGAUCAAUGACAAUUGGAGUUUGGGAAGUUCAUAAAGCUUACAAUCUGGCACCAAUAAAAAUGACAUGAUCCAUUUUACUUCACUACUCAGGGAUGAAUUUACUGUCAGGUUUUUGCAUAGCAGUUUUUGCUAUGCAAAAUCUCAAUUGUGCGUAAGCUACAACAAGCAUGGAUAGCAUGUACAUGUAUGUAUCACAGUUUUCUGCGUGUCACUGUGAUUUUUGAGUAGCAGUAGAUCGAUUUUGCGUAGCAAACUGCGAUGCGAUACCGGAUAAAUUCAUCCCUGCUACUCCAUCUUACAGGCUACAAUUCCAAAUUCAUCAUAAAAAUUAAUAAUAGUAUGGAGAAGCACACAUGCAUGCAGGCUCAACUACUUCGAGUGCAUCAUGUCAGCUACAAAGAGGAUUGUGCUGCAUGGAAUUAGCCCAUUUGUGGCACAUCAAAGUGCAUGAAACUACAGCUGUAAAAAAAAAAGAGAGUAAAGUUUGCAUGUCCGCGUUACCACCGGCUAUCCAAUUGCGUUGAGAAACACAACCAGCUUAGGAAGUUUCGCAUGUGCCAGGCCACCACCAUGCCUGUGAUACCAGGGUAGCAGACAGCUGUGCUCGGUGAAAUCCGACUCGGUGCAUAUUUGGCGCCCUCAAUUUUAAUUUCCCAUGGCCUCCGACGCCCUGGAAGUGGUACAAAUGCGGCUGGAGUACACAUGCACAAGUACGGUGAUGUACAUGUACUAGUAAUCGGAAGCGGUCCAGGGCGCCAGAUUUGCACUUUGGAUUGGAUUUCAGUGAGCGCAAUUGUAUUAACUAUGGGAGGUACACUCAAAGAGCAGCAAAGGUGGCACGUACGACCCCCAGGCGGGCCCAACCAGCAUACAAUCAGUCACGUCCGGGCACAAAAUUCCGCUUACACCCACCAUCAACGCUGCCAACCAAAUUCCUUUCAGUUUGAUAAAAAAGAGAAAGAAAAAUCCAGAAUUCGAACCACAACCCAGAAUAACUUCAGAGAAAGAAAUAGUUUGGCAAGCAGUAUAGUCACUACUCGCAGCCAAAACCGAGAUUACAGAUGUUUUAUGUCUCGGCGAUCAUGAUGGAAAAAGCAUAUAUCUAAAGACAAGUCAUUUUGGAGAACACGUCUGAGUACGUACAAAGUGACCGCUACUACACUAACAUACACGCACACAUAGGAC